GCGCAGCUAACGCGAUAAGUAGACCGCCUGGGGAGUACGGCCGCAAGGUUAAAACUCAAAUGAAUUGACGGGGGCCCGCACAAGCGGUGGAGCAUGUGGUUUAAUUCGAUGCAACGCGAAGAACCUUACCAGGUCUUGACAUCCUCGGAACUUGGCAGAGAUGCCUUGGUGCCUUCGGGAGCCGAGUGACAGGUGCUGCAUGGCCGUCGUCAGCUCGUGUCGUGAGAUGUUGGGUUAAGUCCCGUAACGAGCGCAACCCUUGUCCUUAGUUGCCAGCACGUCAUGGUGGGAACUCUAGGGAGACUGCCGGUGACAAACCGGAGGAAGGUGGGGACGACGUCAGGUCAUCAUGGCCCUUACGACCUGGGCUACACACGUGCUACAAUGGCUGGUACAGAGGGUUGCGAAGUCGCGAGGCGAAGCUAAUCCCUUAAAGCCAGUCGUAGUCCGGAUCGGAGUCUGCAACUCGACUCCGUGAAGUCGGAAUCGCUAGUAAUCGCGGAUCAGAAUGCCGCGGUGAAUACGUUCCCGGGCCUUGUACACACCGCCCGUCACACCAUGGGAGUGGAUUGCACCAGAAGUGGCUAGUCUAACUACGGA
This 600-nucleotide ribosomal RNA is filed under the name uncultured bacterium. RNAcentral describes it as "bacterial SSU rRNA". It matches the Rfam family "Bacterial small subunit ribosomal RNA", at positions 846 to 1445 of the family's 1533-position model. The record is from RNAcentral.